This is a long non-coding RNA of Tupaia belangeri chinensis (Chinese tree shrew), 2018 nucleotides long. RefSeq lists it as uncharacterized. The record is from RefSeq and is a predicted model, not a curated record. The transcript has 3 exons. Lineage: Eukaryota; Metazoa; Chordata; Mammalia; Scandentia; Tupaiidae.
CAGCCCUGGCCUAGAAGAGUACCAGGCACGAGGAAAGCAGGCACUCCAGCCCCUGCCUCCCCCUCUGCCGAACUGGAGAAUGAAAGUAUCCCCAGGCCCGAAGCCUCAGCUUCAGCUUCGCUGGUCUGUGCUUGCCUCCUGCUGCUUCCUCUGCCUGGGAUGUCCUUCAUCUCUCGCAUGAAGUCGCAUCCUGCUGCCUUCUGAGGACCAGUCCGGGCACCACCUCUCCUAGCUGGAGUCCCUUUGAUGUCCGGUUAUCCCACCCGCAGCUGUCUGUGGCACUUCCCAGCUCUCCGGACCCUGAAGACACUGCCCUCUCUCCUGCCAGGAGAUCUGGCCAUGACUGAAUCAAACCCCAGAAACUGUCCCGGAGUGAUUUCCCCCAGGCGUUUUAAUGGCCACCCUUACAGCAAGAGGCUGUCUGACAACUGCUGGUGUACAGAGUGCGGUUUUCGUCAGUGACCUUACCUAGCCUUUACCACAAAUGUUCAUGCUAAAUUAGGCAAGCAGUUAUCCUCCCUACCUCACCUCACACUUCAGACGUGAUGACAGUGGGGCCCAAAGAAGUUACUUUGAAGAUCACAAAGACAGCGGGUAGAAAAAGUGAGAAUUCAUGUUUUAAAUCUGAGUUCUCUGGCUCGAAUUCCACCAGACCGGCACCUCUCCCACCUGCUCUGCUCAGUAGCUCACAUAGCCAGCACGUGUUUGUUUAUUGGGCACCUGCUGUUGGUGGAGAGCUGCAUAGACUUCGAGCCACGUAAGCCACUGUGGACCCUCCUCUGGCCAAAGCCGGGUCACGUCUCCCCUCCCUUUAAUCUCAGGGCCUGGGCCUCAGUGAAUCUCCCUCUUCUCUGGGAAGCGGUCUUCAUAAACUUAGUGUCCUGGCGCUCUUGUUCCCAAGCCUUGCUGCUGAGAAGUGUUCUGUGUCCCGAUACCACUACAUCACUGCUUCCUGGAUCAGAUUCAUGCGCCCUGCUGACUUGAUAGCUAAGUAACCUUGAGAAGUAAACUGGAGGAGGAGGAUUGCAAAAAUGAAAAUGAGAGCCUGGUGCAGCAAUGCACCCCUAGUCUCAGCUACUCAGGAGGCCGAGGAAGGAGGACUGCAAGUUUGAGACCAGCCCGGGCAACACAGUGAGACCCUGUCUCAAAAUAAAAUAAAAUACAGAGAAAAUAACACACCUACAUGAAAUCGUAUAAGGUUUCCUUGUUGUUUCAGUCCCUGACUUCUUGCUAGAAAGUCCUGAGAAGCCUCGAGCUUUCUGGGCUUAGUUCUGACGGUGCAGCUUCUUUAUGUUGUGAGGCAGGCCUCUCCAUCAGGAGCAGAGAGCAAACAGGGACGGAUCCGGCAUUUGUUGAGGCUCUCCUAGGGGCCAGGCACUGGGCUAGGCCCUGGACACCUCACCUCAGUUGACUCUCACAGUAAGCUUCAGGACGAAGUAUGUGUCUUUCCCAAAUGUGGAAACCGAGGUCCCGGGACGUGACCUGAUGUGCUCAGAUCUGUAUGUCUAGGACGCAGCGAGGUGGGCGGCUUGGUUCCUGGCUCCUUUCUCUGCAAUCACGUGAUUACACAUCUGGUGACAGACUAUUGUGCUCUUCUGUCUAAGAGGCACUUCCCCCCCAGGGGACUUCCAGAAUGGGUGACUCUCAUCUCAGAAACCCAGGCUUCCCACAGGAACUGUCACCGUAGGCUGAUUCUGUUAUCUCUGCCGUGUGGGCGAGAAGCACAAGAGGAGAAGAAAGCUCAGGUUUUCCCCUGGAGGAGACAGCCCCUGGCAGAGGAACAGGCUCACAGAGAAGCUCUUCAUCUGGGAGAAGAGAGCUCGACUCAGCGCGGAAUCGGUACUGGUGGCCGACACGGGAGGCCCCGUCCGAGAGUGGCUCACUCAGGGCCUGGCAACGAGGCCUAUGAAAGCUGACGCCAAAGCCAAUGCUGAUGCUGGUACUAAUGUGACAACCCAGUUGACGCCAACAGGACCUGGCUGCCACAGACACAUGGUGUGGCCUUUCCGAUGGUCACG